RNAcentral lists this ribosomal RNA (1681 nucleotides) under metagenome. RNAcentral describes it as "bacterial LSU rRNA". It matches the Rfam family "Bacterial large subunit ribosomal RNA", at positions 830 to 2469 of the family's 2925-position model. The record is from RNAcentral.
CAAUCAAACCUGGAGAUAGCUGGUUCUCCCCGAAAUAGCUUUAGGGCUAGCCUCUUGUUAAAGAGUCGUGGAGGUAGAGCACUGGAUCGGCUAGGGGGCUUACCCGCUUACCAAACCGAACCAAACUCCGAAUGCCAUUGACUUGUUUCAAGGGAGUCAGCGUGCGAGGGAUAAACUCCGUACGCGAGAGGGAAACAACCCAGAUCGUCAGCUAAGGUCCCAAAGUGUAAGCUAAGUGAUUAAAAGGAUGUGAAAUUGCUGAGACAGCUAGGAUGUUGGCUUAGAAACAGCCACCAUUUAAAGAGUACGUAACAGUUCACUAGUCAAGUGAUUUUGCGCCGACAAUGUAUCGGGGCUAAGUUUACCACCGAAGCUACGNACUCANCGUUUCGUUCGCGAGACGUUGAUUGGUAGGGGAGCGUUCCAUAGUAGGCUGAAGGUAAACCGUAAGGUUUGCUGGACGAGAUGGAAGUGAUUAUGUCGGCAUGAGUAGCGAUAAUGCAGGUGAGAAUCCUGCACACCGAAAAUCUAAGGUUUCCUGGGCUAGGCUCGUCCUCCUGGGGUUAGUCGGGACCUAAGCUGAGGCCGAAAGGCGUANGCGAUGGAAAACAGGCUAAAUAUUCCUGUACCACUUACAGCGUGUUUGAGCUAUGGGGUGACGCAGAAGUGAAAGGUCAGCCAGCGAUUGGAAAUGCUGGUCUAAGCUCGUAGGAGGGUCAUCUAGGUAAAUCCGGAUGACCAAUACUCUGAGAGGCGAUGGGGAGCCGCUUAGCGGCAUAAACUGACCCUAAUCAGGCUGCCAAGAAAAACCUCUAUGUGAAUUCUGUAGGUGCCCGUACCGCAAACCGACACAGGUAGAUGAGGAGAGUAUCCAAAGGUGCGCGAGUGAACCCUCGUUAAGGAAUUCGGCAAAAUGAUCCCGUAACUUCGGAAGAUGGGAUGCCCUNAGUAGGUAAAGCCCCUCGCGGGUGGAGCCCAAAGGGGUCGCAGAGAAACGGGCUGGGCGACUGUUUACCAAAAACACAGGUCUCUGCUAAGCCGUAAGGCAAUGUAUAGGGACUGACACGUGCCCGGUGCUGGUAAGUUAAGAGGAUGAGUUAGUCUUCGGACGAAGCUUUGAAUCGAAGCUCCAGUAAACGGCGGCCGUAACUAUAACGGUCCUAAGGUAGCGAAAUUCCUCGUCGGCUAAAAACCGACCUGCACGAAUCGUGUAACGACUUGGCCGCUGUCUCAACGAGGGACUCGGUGAAAUUGUAGUUCCGGUGAAGAUGCCGGAUACCCGCGGCAGGACAGAAAGACCCCGUGAACCUUUACUAUAGCUUGGUAUUGGAUUUUGACACUGUAUGUGUAGGAUAGGUGGGAGGCUAUGAAGCGGGAGCGCCAGUUCUCGUGGAGCCGUCCUUGAAAUACCACCCUUGCCUUGUUAAAAUUCUAACCUUGGUCCCUUGAUCGGGAUCGGAGACAGUGCCAGGUGGGUAGUUUAACUGGGGCGGUUGCCUCCUAAAAAGUAACGGAGGCGCCCAAUGGUUCCCUCAGCGCGGUCGGUAAUCGCGCGUAGAGUGUAAAGGCAUACAGGGAGCUUGACUGCGAGACUUACAAGUCGAGCAGGUGCGAAAGCAGGGCUUAGUGAUCCGACGGUUGCAUGUGGAAGCGCCGAAGCUCAACGGAUAAAAGGUACUCC